Molecule: ribosomal RNA, 399 nt
Filed under: Triticum aestivum (bread wheat)
Lineage: Eukaryota; Viridiplantae; Streptophyta; Magnoliopsida; Poales; Poaceae
Description: partial small subunit ribosomal RNA
Source: RNAcentral
AUGCCGAGGGAGGCCGCAGGUGCGAGCGCAACCAUGCAAGUCCAGGAGAAGCAGAGGAGGGCCGAGGCCACGCCCUGCGGGGAAGGUCACGCCGCGUCGCCGCGCCUUGAGGACGCGCAGCCGCACUGCGAGCCCAGAUCGUGCCUGAAGACCAUGGCGAUGCCUCGCCGUUUGCCGCCGCUGCCGUUGGCAGUUAUGUGGCGAGUGGAAGCGCCGGAGGGCGCCGUCGACACGGCCAUGCACCAGACCGAUGGACAUGCACACAGGCGAGACAAAAGUGUGUACCUACAGCCUGAGGAAGCGACUACUUCGUCCAGCUUGCUGCCGACGUCACCAGUUUUGGAGGCUAGAUGCGUCUGUUGCCAGUCGAGCUGUGGCAACCAAUCUACUGUUGACUGA